RNAcentral lists this ribosomal RNA (253 nucleotides) under uncultured bacterium. RNAcentral describes it as "partial 16S ribosomal RNA". It matches the Rfam family "Bacterial small subunit ribosomal RNA", at positions 524 to 776 of the family's 1533-position model. The record is from RNAcentral.
GACAGAGGCCUCAAGCGUUAGGCGGAAUCACUGGGCUUAAAGCGUGUGUAGGCGGAUCGUUAAGUAUCUUGUGAAAUCCCACGGCUCACCCGUGGAACGGCUGGGCAUACUGGCGAUCUUGGGCCAACUAGGGGCAACUGGAACAAGCGGUGGAGCGGUGAAAUGCGUAGAUAUCGCGUGGAACGCCGAAGGUGAAAACAGGUUGCUGGGGUUGUGCCGACGCUGAGACACGAAAGCCAGGGGAGCAAACGGG